AUUGAACGCUGGCGGCAUGCCUUACACAUGCAAGUCGAACGGCAGCGGGGGUGAAGCUUGCUUUUCCUGCCGGCGAGUGGCGAACGGGUGAGUAAUACAUCGGAACGUGCCCUGUAGUGGGGGAUAACUAGUCGAAAGAUUAGCUAAUACCGCAUACGACCUGAGGGUGAAAGUGGGGGACCGCAAGGCCUCAUGCUACAGGAGCGGCCGAUGUCUGAUUAGCUUGUUGGUGGGGUAGAGGCCUACCAAGGCGACGAUCAGUAGCUGGUCUGAGAGGACGAACAGCCACACUGGGACUGAGACACGGCCCAGACUCCUACGGGAGGCAGCAGUGGGGAAUUUUGGACAAUGGGCGAAAGCCUGAUCCAGCAAUGCCGCGUGUGUGAAGAAGGCCUUCGGGUUGUAAAGCACUUUUGUCCGGAAAGAAAUGGCUCUGGUUAAUACCUGGGGUCGAUGACGGUACCGGAAGAAUAAGGACCGGCUAACUACGUGCCAGCCGCCGCAGUAA
Molecule: ribosomal RNA, 508 nt
Filed under: uncultured bacterium
Lineage: Bacteria
Description: partial 16S ribosomal RNA
Rfam family: Bacterial small subunit ribosomal RNA
Source: RNAcentral